GAGACAGCAGCAGCCGCGGUAAUACAGAGGAUGCAAGCGUUAUCCGGAAUGAUUGGGCGUAAAGCGUCUGUAGGUGGCUUUUCAAAUCAGUCGUCAAAUCCCUGGGCUCAACCCUGGACAAGCAGUGGAAACUACCAAGCUGGAGUAUAGUAGGGGCAGAGUGAAUUUCCGGUGGAGCGAUGAAACGCGCUGAGAUCAGAAAGAACACCAACGGCGAAAGCACUCUGCUGGGCCGACACUGACACUGAGAGACGAAAGCUAGGGGAGCAAAUGGGAUUAGAUACCCCCGUAGUCCCUGUCUCUUAUAA
This 308-nucleotide ribosomal RNA is filed under the name uncultured bacterium. RNAcentral describes it as "partial 16S ribosomal RNA". It matches the Rfam family "Bacterial small subunit ribosomal RNA", at positions 505 to 809 of the family's 1533-position model. The record is from RNAcentral.